This 479-nucleotide ribosomal RNA is filed under the name Blastocystis sp. RNAcentral's name for it is "SSU rRNA". It matches the Rfam family "Eukaryotic small subunit ribosomal RNA", at positions 460 to 953 of the family's 1831-position model. The record is from RNAcentral. Lineage: Eukaryota; Bigyra; Opalinata; Blastocystidae.
GGAGGUAGUGACAAUAAAUCACAAUGCGGGACUUUUAGUUUUGCAAUUGGAUUGAGAACAAUGUAAAAGAGUUAUCGAUAAACAAUUGGAGGGCAAGUCUGGUGCCAGCAGCCGCGGUAAUUCCAGCUCCAAUAGCGUAUAUUAACGUUGUUGCAGUUAAAAAGCUCGUAGUUGAAGUGUGGGGUGAAAAGUUGGUUGUUUCUUUGAAAUGGCUGUCUGCUCACCCCCUCUCCAAUGUGUUAUUAUGGGUAUUAAUUUACUUGUAGUAGCUAUUGGUCAUUUACUGUGAGAAAAUUAGAGUGUUCAAAGCAGGCAUUUGCUUGAAUAUAUUAGCAUGGAAUAAUAGUAAAAGGCUUUUGUGGUCGAUUUAAUUGGUUUGUUCAUAAAAGCAAGAUUAAUAGGGACAGUUGGGGGUAUUCAUAUCCAAUAGUUAGAGGUGAAAUUCUCGGAUUUAUGGAAGAUGAACAAGUGCGAAAGCA